AAAACGGCCCUUUUCAGGGCCACUAAAUUGUAAUCUACAAUGUGCAU
Molecule: non-coding RNA, 47 nt
Organism: Trichuris trichiura (human whipworm)
Lineage: Eukaryota; Metazoa; Nematoda; Enoplea; Trichinellida; Trichuridae
Source: Rfam